RNAcentral lists this unclassified non-coding RNA (1201 nucleotides) under Hevea brasiliensis (rubber tree). Lineage: Eukaryota; Viridiplantae; Streptophyta; Magnoliopsida; Malpighiales; Euphorbiaceae. The record is from RNAcentral.
UUAAAAAAAAAAAAAAUUGAGUUAAAACUCAAAUGAAUACAGAAAAUAAUUAAAAAAAUUUACUUACCUUCUUUGGAUGACAUUACAAAAGUAUUUUUGAGGCAUAUAAUCGUUGAGGAACUUGUAAGAUUGUUCCUUCUUUACAUAAAGAAGCUAAGAUGUGAUAUCGAUAUAUACAUUCAAAUAGAAUACAACAAUGGACAAAAUCAAUGCAAGCUCAGACCUCAGACUCCGAAGCACCUGGCACUUUGAAAUAAAUUGCACGCCAACGCCAACCCAUUUAUAUAUUCCUCCUGUUGAGAGCACUGGUUUCAUUAGUUGUUUUAACAAGAAUUCUUUGCUUUUCUUUUCUUUUUCUUCUUCUUUUUUUUUUUUUUUUUUUUCUUUUUCUCUUUUUUUUUAUAUGGGAGAGAGAAAUACACAAUGAGGAUUGUCAAGUGCUAGCAUAGUUUACAAAACACAUAAAAAUGGAGGGACAUUUUGAUACUUUAAACUUGUAUUUUGCAUUUUCUUUUGAUGAUUGUCCCUAAAAUUGCCACCCCCAAACUCAUUUCUUUUAAUACUUUGGGUGGAUUUCUUUCAAUUUGAAUGACAAUAAUGAAAGGCACAUAUAUACUAGCACUUUUACAAAUGAUAAGCAUUUCUUCUCCCUUUUAUUUUUUAUUCUCUCUUUUUUUUAAUAGUGUACCAAAUAUUAUGCGUAAUUAUUCUCAUGAAAAAGGUGGUAGUGUUUGGUUCACUAGCUAGGUAACAAUAAGAGUUCCAAAAAAAAAAACUAGGAAUAUGUAGGCUUAAAGGGGUUUACAACGGUUAAUUGUAAUGAAAAGAACGUUAAAAGUUUAAAAUGAGAUGGUUGUAAUAAAAAAAAAUGUCUAAUUAUUUCUCUUUCUAAGUAUAAGUUGGUAUUUCACCUUGAAAGGUUUAGAAAAUCUGUCACAGGAUUUGUGAGAUAUCAUUUGACUACUUUUUAUCCUAUAGCUCUCUUUAAACAUUCUAAUAUCUAAAUGACUAGUUUGGUGGUUUUUUGGCUAAGAAGAUAAAGGCAAAUGAUAAACACUUCAAAACUUUGCACCUCUUAGAAAACUUUUAAUCCAUAAACCCAACCAAAGGUAGGCUAAAUCACUCUACUAAGUAGCUCUCAUUACUCAAGGGACUUGGCAAAAAUUUAAUUUCAUGAAUGCAUGAUUCCUAAAAAUGAGCA